AGGGAAACCGGAGCUAAUACCGGAUAACAUGUUGAACCGCAUGGUUCAACAGUGAAAGACGGUCUUGCUGUCACUUAUAGAUGGAUCCGCGUCGCAUUAGCUAGUUGGUAAGGUAACGGCUUACCAAGGCAACGAUGCGUAGCCGACCUGAGAGGGUGAUCGGCCACACUGGAACUGAGACACGGUCCAG
This 190-nucleotide ribosomal RNA is filed under the name uncultured Staphylococcus sp. RNAcentral's name for it is "partial 16S ribosomal RNA". It matches the Rfam family "Bacterial small subunit ribosomal RNA", at positions 150 to 334 of the family's 1533-position model. The record is from RNAcentral. Lineage: Bacteria; Bacillati; Bacillota; Bacilli; Caryophanales; Staphylococcaceae.